GGAUGGCGAUCUGGCUGCAACAUCUGUCAGCCCACUGAUCGCCUGGGUUGAUUUGGCUGAUCCGGCUGCCUAGACAGUGUCCCCUUCCUCCCUCAACGUUCCAUGCACAUCCCUCCCAAAGCUGUGUGCUCCAUCGAAGAGGAGCUGAUAGAGGGGACCAGUCCUUGGUCAAGGGUAUGAGGAGCUGUGCUCCCCUGCUAAAAUCUCCAAACAAACACCUAGACAUUAAAUAACACACUCCUGAACAUGCAAUGGGUCACAGAGGAAAUCAAGGAAGAAACAAAAUAAUCAAAAAAUAACACCAGUACAACAUGCCAGAACCUAUGG
RNAcentral lists this small nuclear RNA (327 nucleotides) under Chinchilla lanigera (long-tailed chinchilla). RNAcentral's name for it is "7SK RNA (ENSCLAG00000021677.1)". It matches the Rfam family "7SK RNA". Rfam says of the family: 7SK was discovered as an abundant small nuclear RNA in the mid-70s but a possible function has only recently been suggested. Two independent studies have found that 7SK RNA binds the CDK9/cyclin T complex (known as elongation factor P-TEFb). Lineage: Eukaryota; Metazoa; Chordata; Mammalia; Rodentia; Chinchillidae. The record is from Rfam by way of RNAcentral.